RNAcentral lists this ribosomal RNA (791 nucleotides) under uncultured Actinomycetes bacterium. RNAcentral's name for it is "bacterial SSU rRNA". It matches the Rfam family "Bacterial small subunit ribosomal RNA", at positions 59 to 826 of the family's 1533-position model. The record is from RNAcentral. Lineage: Bacteria; Bacillati; Actinomycetota; Actinomycetes.
AAGUCGAACGCGAAAGUCCCCUUCGGGGGACAAGUAGAGUGGCGCACGGGUGAGUAACACGUAGGUAAUCUACCUUUGGAUGGGGAAUAACAACCGGAAACGGUUGCUAAUACCGCAUAAUGCAGCGGCACCUAAUGGUGACAGUUGUUAAAGCGGGGGAUCGCAAGACCUCGCGUCUGAAGAGGAGCCUGCCGCAGAUUAGCUAGUUGGUAAGGUAACGGCUUACCAAGGCGAUGAUCUGUAGCCGGCCUGAGAGGGCGGUCGGCCACACUGACACUGACAUACGGGUCAGACUCCUACGGGAGGCAGCAGUCGGGAAUUUUGGGCAAUGGGCGAAAGCCUGACCCAGCAACGCCGCGUGAAGGAUGAAAUCCCUCGGGAUGUAAACUUCGCAAGAACGGGAAGAAUAAGUAAGAGCUAACAUCUCUUACGAUGACGGUACUGUUUGUAAGCUCCGGCUAACUCCGUGCCAGCAGCCGCGGUAAUACGGGGGGAGCAAGCGUUGUUCGGAUUUACUGGGCGUAAAGGGCGCGUAGGCGGCCACCGCAAGUCGACUGUGAAAUCUCCGGGCUUAACCCGGAAAGGUCAGCCGAUACUGCGGGGGUGAGAGUGCAGAAGGGGCAACUGGAAUUCUCGGUGUAGCGGUGAAAUGCGUAGAUUUCGAGAGGAACACCUGCGGCGAAGGCGGGUUGCUGGGCUGACACUGACCCUGAGGCGCGAAAGCUAGGGGGAGCGAACGGGAUUAGAUACCCCGGUAGUCCUAGCCUUAACCAAUGAAUGCUUGGUGUCUG